RNAcentral lists this ribosomal RNA (432 nucleotides) under Triticum aestivum (bread wheat). Its description in RNAcentral is "partial small subunit ribosomal RNA". The record is from RNAcentral. Lineage: Eukaryota; Viridiplantae; Streptophyta; Magnoliopsida; Poales; Poaceae.
GAGCCCGCGGGCUCGCCAAAGCUUCUCGUCGCCAACCUGGCAGCCUACUCCAUCGGCUUCGUCGACCGGGUGGCCACGGUGGGCCCUUCCCACACUCCCUUCACUGACGCCUCAAGUUUUCUGCAAUCACUCAUCGACCUCAAGCUUCUAAUCUCCUGCCCUUGGGUGAUCAUAGGCGACUUCAACAUCCCUCUUAGACCUUCAGACAAGUCUUCUCCUAAUUUUAACAUGCUAGAAGCAAACCUUUUCUCCUCCGCCAUCCAUUCCCUGCAGACGCAAGACCUCCCUCUGCCAGAUAGGAGAUACACUUGGUCAAACCAACAGAAUGUGCCCAUUCUGGUUCGCUUGGAUUGGGCGCUGGCCAACGUCGAAUGGGCCUCUAGGUUUCCGGAUACUUCACUUUCGUCAACCACUCGGACAACCUCCGACCAC